Molecule: ribosomal RNA, 923 nt
Filed under: Pseudoclavibacter helvolus
Lineage: Bacteria; Bacillati; Actinomycetota; Actinomycetes; Micrococcales; Microbacteriaceae
Description: bacterial SSU rRNA
Rfam family: Bacterial small subunit ribosomal RNA
Source: RNAcentral
AGCGUUGUCCGGGAAUUAUUGGGCGUAAAGAGCUCGUAGGCGGUUUGUCGCGUCUGCUGUGAAAUCCCGAGGCUCAACCUCGGGUCUGCAGUGGGUACGGGCAGACUAGAGUGUGGUAGGGGAGAUUGGAAUUCCUGGUGUAGCGGUGGAAUGCGCAGAUAUCAGGAGGAACACCGAUGGCGAAGGCAGAUCUCUGGGCCAUUACUGACGCUGAGGAGCGAAAGCAUGGGGAGCGAACAGGAUUAGAUACCCUGGUAGUCCAUGCCGUAAACGUUGGGCGCUAGAUGUGGGGACCAUUCCACGGUUUCCGUGUCGUAGCUAACGCAUUAAGCGCCCCGCCUGGGGAGUACGGCCGCAAGGCUAAAACUCAAAGGAAUUGACGGGGGCCCGCACAAGCGGCGGAGCAUGCGGAUUAAUUCGAUGCAACGCGAAGAACCUUACCAAGGCUUGACAUAUACCGGAAACGUUCAGAAAUGUUCGCCCCGCAAGGUCGGUAUACAGGUGGUGCAUGGUUGUCGUCAGCUCGUGUCGUGAGAUGUUGGGUUAAGUCCCGCAACGAGCGCAACCCUCGUCGUAUGUUGCCAGCACGUAAUGGUGGGAACUCAUAUGAGACUGCCGGGGUCAACUCGGAGGAAGGUGGGGAUGACGUCAAAUCAUCAUGCCCCUUAUGUCUUGGGCUUCACGCAUGCUACAAUGGCUGGUACAAUGGGCUGCAAUACCGCGAGGUGGAGCGAAUCCCAAAAAGCCAGUCUCAGUUCGGAUUGGGGUCUGCAACUCGACCCCAUGAAGUCGGAGUCGCUAGUAAUCGCAGAUCAGCAACGCUGCGGUGAAUACGUUCCCGGGCCUUGUACACACCGCCCGUCAAGUCAUGAAAGUCGGUAACACCCGAAGCCGGUGGCCUAACCUUUGGAGGGAGCCGUCGA